UGGUGUUGACCUUACUUGACCCGG
RNAcentral lists this non-coding RNA (24 nucleotides) under Arabidopsis thaliana (thale cress). Lineage: Eukaryota; Viridiplantae; Streptophyta; Magnoliopsida; Brassicales; Brassicaceae. The record is from RNAcentral.